RNAcentral lists this long non-coding RNA (2232 nucleotides) under Manihot esculenta (cassava). RNAcentral describes it as "long non-coding RNA (MESC_LNC000364)". The record is from RNAcentral. Lineage: Eukaryota; Viridiplantae; Streptophyta; Magnoliopsida; Malpighiales; Euphorbiaceae.
AGAAAAAAAAAAAAAAAACGUAACAAUAUAACGAGAAUUGCUCAAACAUGUGCAAAGGCUGCUAACUAGUUGGAAAAUAGAUCAUUGGAAAAUACCUGGCCAACAACAACAAUCUGUUGAAUAAGAGCACUUCUCAAAGCAGCUUCCUCAAGCUCCGAGGGCUCAACAUUUUCACCUAUUUUCCCAAAAGAAAGUUGGCUAGUUAAAUGCAACUUGCUUUGAUAUGCAUAGUCACAUCAGAGAAAAAACACAAUGAGAAUAAGUUCGACCACAAAUAGAGUUGAACCAAAGAAUCCUAUUCCAACAUUAGAGUCUCCUUUCGCAUUCGAUGAAAACAUAAGUUCUGAAAAUAAAUAAAGUAGCCAAAAACUUUGAACAAUUUCGAAUCGAAAGAGAAUACCAAGAGCAUAAUUUAUAAUUAUAUAUGGCAUAAUCAUGCAGCUAUUAUAGAUACUCUUUAUAUUACAAAAAAUGUACCACCGAAGCAAAGUUACAAAAUGAAGAUUGACAAAAUACACGUUGAGAAAUUGAUUAUUAAUGCUAACCACAAAUUUCAUUCUACGAAAAGUCCAACAAUUAUAUGCAUCAAGCAGUAGUACAUAAAUGGAGAAAGCGGCUGAUGACUAUGCAUUAACCAAGGGUUCAUAAAAUGCUUUCCAACUGAUUCUGAGUGCAUAUCGCUUAAAACGAGGUGGCAUCUCUGGAGAGAGAAGAUUCAAAAACUGCAAUGUUGUACAAAGAAAACAAAUAUACUUCAAGCAUACCUGUUGAAAGAACUAUGGUAUCCUUAGCUCGCCCUUCAAGGACAAUAACACCUCCACAAUGACGGCUUCUCCCUACUGAAUGAUGAGGAGCAAUCCAACCUAUAUCACCAGUAUUUAGCCAACCAUCCUCAUCUAACACUUGCUUUGUGGCCAUUGGAUUCUAAUGGAACAUUAAUACAAACAUGUUGCAUAAUUAACAAUUUGGGGCAAUUAUUGUGACUAAAAUUUGUUAUGCUAAUUAAUAGAAAAAAAAACAAAAAAAUAAAACAGUUGGAAGAAAAGAGAAAAAAAAAAAAAGAACUCCUGAAUAAAUACUAGAAGAGUUCAUGGACAUGAUUGUAAAUUUUCAGUUGCUCAAAUAAAAGUAAAUAUAAGUUAUUUCACAAGUACCAUUGUUGGCAUGAGGUAAUAAAUGGGAUACAUAUCGUAAAAAUAUGGAAUAAGUACAACAGGAUGAAUCAUUCCAUUUCUUGUUUGGUUAGAAGACUAAAAGAUUCAUUCCAUUUCUUUGUUCUGUUCCAACAAUAAAAGAUUAAUGUAAUUGGAAAUAUUCAUACUUGAUAAGGCUAAUUGAAAAGGGAAACGCAAUUUGAAUUUUACUUGUAAUACUAUAGACUGCGAUUUGCACUAAAUUCACAUAUACGACUCAAAAUAUGUUGCAUAUCUUUAAUAAUAGAACAGAAUACCAUGGGUCGUAAUUCUAACUUUUUAUUGCAAAAAGUACAACAAAUGUGACCAAGACCCAUCAACUAUUUCUAAUCAUGGUUUCCCAAUAUUUUAUCGCAUAUCUUUGUAACAACAAUAUUGUCGCUUAACUAAUAAAUUUGUAAUCACAAACUAUUCUUUAUUUGGAUUUUUAGAAACUAAUGCAUUUUUUAGGGUAAAUUACACUUUAAUCCCUAAAUUUUAGCAUAAUUAACGGAUCGACCUGUAUUUUUAAAACCGAACACUUAAAUUCCUCUAUAAUCAGUCCGUCCAAAUUAGAGGUCUCUCCCUCCAUUUUUGCCGUUAAAAGUGUAGAAAUGUCUUUAUUAUCCUUUUUAAAUGGACAAACUAUACUUGAGUCAUUGAGUUUUAGCAUAAUUAAUGGAUCGGUCCCUUUUUUUUAAAAGUGUACAGGUAAAACCUUCUAUAAUCAGUCCAUCCUCAUUUAUUAUUGUUGAAUCCCACAUCGGUUGUAAAAAGAGGUAAUGUGCCCCUUAUAUGAGCCAUAGGCACUCCUCCCCCUUGAGCUAGCUUUUGGAGUGAGUUGGGUCUGAUCCAAAUUUAACAUGGUAUCAGAGCCUCCCCAUCCGAUGUUGGAUCUCCCAUAUAUAUGUUACGCAUCAAUAAAAUUCUGGGCGUGAGGGAGUGUACUUGAAUCCCACAUCGGUUGUGGAAAGGGGUAAUAUGCCCUUUAUAUGAGCCAUAGACACUCCUCUCCCUUGAGCUAGCUUUUGGGGUGAGUUAGGUCUGACCUAAAUUUAAC